Non-coding RNA from Myotis davidii, 81 nucleotides. The record is from Rfam. Lineage: Eukaryota; Metazoa; Chordata; Mammalia; Chiroptera; Vespertilionidae.
AGGCCCGAAGAGAGAAGCAGGGUCUGAUCCGUAGCCUCUGUGGCAGCUGUUGAUCAGCACUUAUCUCUCUCUUUCUCUCCA